Molecule: non-coding RNA, 24 nt
Filed under: Arabidopsis thaliana (thale cress)
Lineage: Eukaryota; Viridiplantae; Streptophyta; Magnoliopsida; Brassicales; Brassicaceae
Source: RNAcentral
AGCUGCGGUGGUGAUUCAAGAGAU